UACAGAGGGUGCAAGCGUUGUUCGGAGUUACUGGGCGUAAAGGGUGUGUAGGCGGUUUUCUAAGUUUGGUGUGAAAUCUCCCGGCUCAACCGGGAGGGUGCGCCGAAAACUGGGAGACUAGAGUGCGGGAUGGGAGAGUAGAAUUCCUGGUGUAGCGGUGAAAUGCGUAGAUAUCAGGAGGAAUACCGGUGGUGUAGACGGCUCUCUGGACCGCCACUGACGCUGAGACACGAAAGCGUGGGUAGCAAACAGG
This 253-nucleotide ribosomal RNA is filed under the name uncultured bacterium. RNAcentral describes it as "partial 16S ribosomal RNA". It matches the Rfam family "Bacterial small subunit ribosomal RNA", at positions 524 to 776 of the family's 1533-position model. The record is from RNAcentral.